CCCUUAGAUGUUCUGGGCUGCACGCGCGCUACACUGAUGCACUCAACGAGUUUACGACCUUGCCCGAUAGGGUUGGGUAAUCUUUUUAAAAUGCAUCGUGAUGGGGAUAGAUUAUUGCAAUUAUUAAUCUUCAACGAGGAAUUCCUAGUAAGCGCGAGUCAUCAGCUCGUGCUGAUUACGUCCCUGCCCUUUGUAUACACCGCCCGUCGCUCCUACCGAUUGAGUGCUCAGGUGAAUAAUUCGGACUGCAGCAAUGUUUGGAUCCCGAACGUUGCAGCGGAAAGUUUAGUGAACCUUAUCACUUAGAGGAAGGAGAAGUCGUAACA
Molecule: ribosomal RNA, 326 nt
Filed under: uncultured eukaryote
Lineage: Eukaryota
Description: partial 18S ribosomal RNA
Rfam family: Eukaryotic small subunit ribosomal RNA
Source: RNAcentral